AUACACGCGUCGGGAGAGACUCGGUUGAUUGCAGCCGGGCGCCGAAGGUGCAACCGCCCCGGAAACUCUCAGGCAAAAGGACCGGCGUGUGUGA
RNAcentral lists this non-coding RNA (94 nucleotides) under Serpentinimonas raichei. Its description in RNAcentral is "Comamonadaceae bacterium A1 Glycine riboswitch aptamer". It matches the Rfam family "Glycine riboswitch aptamer". From Rfam's summary of the family: This family represents the bacterial glycine riboswitch. Glycine riboswitches usually consist of two metabolite-binding aptamers domains with similar structures in tandem. The record is from Rfam by way of RNAcentral. Lineage: Bacteria; Pseudomonadati; Pseudomonadota; Betaproteobacteria; Burkholderiales; Comamonadaceae. RNAcentral also lists the same sequence under 1 other name.